CCUACGGGUGUCAGCAGUGAGGAAUAUUGGUCAAUGGCCGUAAGGCUGAACCAGCCACGUCGCGUGAAGGAAGAAGGAUCUAUGGUUUGUAAACUUCUUUUAUAGGGGAAUAAAGGUAUCUACGUGUGGAUAUUUGCAUGUAUACUAUGAAUAAGGAUCGGCUAACUCCGUGCCAGCAGCCGCGGUAAUACGGAGGAUGCGAGGGUUAUCCGGAUUUCUUGGGUUUAAAGGGUGUGUAGGUUGUUUUUUAAGUUAGCGGGGAAAGCCCGGGGCCCAACCCCGGCGAGCCGUUGAAACUGUCUGGCUGGAGUGGUCGAGAGGUAAGCGGAAUGCGCAGUGUAGCGGUGAAAGGCGUAGAUAUUGCGAAGAACUCCGAUGGCGAAGGCAGCAUACCGGCGGCUAUCUGACGCUGAGGCACGAAAGCGUGGGGAGCGAACAGGAUUAGAUACCCCGGUAGUC
RNAcentral lists this ribosomal RNA (459 nucleotides) under uncultured bacterium. RNAcentral's name for it is "partial 16S ribosomal RNA". It matches the Rfam family "Bacterial small subunit ribosomal RNA", at positions 338 to 795 of the family's 1533-position model. The record is from RNAcentral.